This 257-nucleotide long non-coding RNA is filed under the name Malus domestica (apple). RNAcentral's name for it is "long non-coding RNA (MDOM_LNC013767)". The record is from RNAcentral. Lineage: Eukaryota; Viridiplantae; Streptophyta; Magnoliopsida; Rosales; Rosaceae.
CGAAAGAGGAGGAUGCUUCAGUCUGUCCGUGCGCCUGCCUUCCAGCUCUCCCUGACCUCACUGCCAAAGGGCAGCGUUCUUCCCUUCUUAUUUUCUUAUUCUGUCCGUGCGCCUGCCUUCCAGCUCUCCCCUCUGGUUUCGCAAGUGUCUCCCUCUCUCUCCCCGCCAGUCUUUCCGUUUUUCCUCUGCCUAAGGUAGCUUUGGUUCCUGCGUCUCUGCGAGCUGCCCAAAGGGCAGCCCCUUUCUCCCGCUCCCCC